Molecule: ribosomal RNA, 550 nt
Filed under: uncultured archaeon
Lineage: Archaea
Description: bacterial SSU rRNA
Rfam family: Archaeal small subunit ribosomal RNA
Source: RNAcentral
CGGGGUGCAACAGGCGCGAAAACUGCACAAUGCUGGAAACAGCGAUGCGGGAAUUCCAAGUGCCGGCACUAAGUGUCGGCUGUUCCAUUGUCUAAAAAACAUAGGAAGUAAGGGCUGGGUAAGACGGGUGCCAGCCGCCGCGGUAAUACCUGCAGCCCGAGUGGUGGCCGUUAUUAUUGGGCCUAAAACGUCCGUAGCCGGUUGGGUAGAUGCCUGCGUAAAUCGAACGGCUUAACCGUUCGAACUGCGGGUAGACCGCCCGACUAGGGACCGGGAGAGUCACGAAGUACUCCGGGGGUAGAGGUGAAAUUCUGUAAUCCUCGGGGGACUACCGGUGGCGAAGGCGUCGUGAUAGAACGGCUCCGACGGUGAGGGACGAAGCCCUGGGGCGCAAACCGGAUUAGAUACCCGGGUAGUCCAGGGUGUAAACGCUGCGGUCUUGGUGUCGGAAGUCCUACGGGGGCAUCCGGUGCCGGAGAGAAGUUGUUAAGACCGCUGCCUGGGGAGUACGGCCGCAAGGUUGAAACUUAAAGGAAUUGGCGGGGGAGCA